UUAAGUUGUACCGGUACCGUAGGUUUUAACCUCGGACCGUAGAGUUUUAUCCGGGCUGCCGAAAAGUGGCAACCGGGUGCCUAAUGUUUCGGAACGUGCCCAGUAACGGGGGAUAACUACGCCAAAGCGUGGCUAAUACCGCAUACCCCCUACGGGGGAAAGGGGGGGAUCGCAAGACCUCUCACUAUUGGAGCGGCCGAUAUCGGAUUACUAGUUGGUGAGGUAAAGGCUCACCAAGGCGACAUCCGUACUGGUUUGAAAGACACCACCACACUGGGACUGAACCGGCCCAACUCCUACGGGAGGCAGCAUGGGGAAUUUUGGACAAUGGGGGCAACCCUGAUCCAGCGUCCCCGUGUGCAUAAAAGCCUUCGGGUUGUAAAGCACUUUUGGCAGGAAAAAAAUUUCGGGCUAAACCCUGGACAUACGGACCUGCAUAAUAUCCCCGGGUAACUACGUG
RNAcentral lists this ribosomal RNA (460 nucleotides) under Alcaligenes sp. HPC1134. RNAcentral describes it as "partial 16S ribosomal RNA". It matches the Rfam family "Bacterial small subunit ribosomal RNA", at positions 1 to 507 of the family's 1533-position model. Lineage: Bacteria; Pseudomonadati; Pseudomonadota; Betaproteobacteria; Burkholderiales; Alcaligenaceae. The record is from RNAcentral.